UCCCGAAANUGCCAAGAUUUUCAGCUUGC
Molecule: non-coding RNA, 29 nt
Filed under: Mus musculus (house mouse)
Lineage: Eukaryota; Metazoa; Chordata; Mammalia; Rodentia; Muridae
Source: RNAcentral